Molecule: long non-coding RNA, 1921 nt
Organism: Trifolium pratense (red clover)
Lineage: Eukaryota; Viridiplantae; Streptophyta; Magnoliopsida; Fabales; Fabaceae
Exons: 2
Source: RefSeq, a predicted model, not a curated record
UCACUUUCUCUCUCUCGGUUCUCUCACUCUCUAUCCAUCUUCGUCUUCUUCAAAGUGUUCAUGAAGAACACAUGAAGACCGGUGGCCGGACCACCGCGGGUUCCAGAAUCCGGCGCGGCGGCGCCGCCGGGAAACUUUAUUUUUUGGUCAAAAUCCCCUUUUUUAUUUGUUUAUUAUUAUUAUUAUUAUUGUUAUUAUAUUAUUGUUAUUAUUAUUAUUUUACCGGUUCCUCUUUGUUUUGAAACCCAAUAACAACUCAAAUCUUCCUUUUAAGCCACUUGUUUUAUAAUCUUAAACCCAGAUUGAAUACCAUAAACAAAUUCCUACAGAACGGAUUAAUUCCUUUCUAUACACCACUCUAUUAUUAAUCCAAAAAUCAGACAAAAUUACACAAAUACACACAUAAUCAGCAACAAAAAACUCAAAGGUAAAAAGGGUAAAAGAGUAUCUACUUGGAAUGCAGUGAUCCUCUGGUGUAAAAAGCUCCUGUUUUCCUCUGUCUUAUGCUUCGUUCUCUGUCUCCUCCUUCUCCUUUCUUGCCGCUGAUUUUUUGAUUUUGUGUAAACAGAGACUGUUGGAUAGUCCUUUGGGUUCUGAUUUAUCUGAGGGGUUUUUUGUGUGUAUGUUUUUUUUGGUUUUCUCUUUUGCGUGUUAUCUCCCCUUAUUGUGAAGAAUUGCUUUGUGAUUUAUAGCCAGAGGGAUUAGAGUUAUCAUCCACUUGUUUUAUAAUCUUAAACCCAGAUUGAAUACCAUAAACAAAUUCCUACAGAACGGAUUAAUUCCUUUCUAUACACCACUCUAUUAUUAAUCCAAAAAUCAGACAAAAUUACACAAAUACACACAUAAUCAGCAACAAAAAACUCAAAGGUAAAAAGGGUAAAAGAGUAUCUACUUGGAAUGCAGUGAUCCUCUGGUGUAAAAAGCUCCUGUUUUCCUCUGUCUUAUGCUUCGUUCUCUGUCUCCUCCUUCUCCUUUCUUGCCGCUGAUUUUUUGAUUUUGUGUAAACAGAGACUGUUGGAUAGUCCUUUGGGUUCUGAUUUAUCUGAGGGGUUUUUUGUGUGUAUGUUUUUUUUGGUUUUCUCUUUUGCGUGUUAUCUCCCCUUAUUGUGAAGAAUUGCUUUGUGAUUUAUAGCCAGAGGGAUUAGAGUUAGCAUUGAUUGUGAUUGAUUAAUUUUGGAGUGGAAUCUUAUGAGUUGAAUGCAAUUUAUGAAUGAAUGAUGAACUUUCCAUUUGGAGUUUGAUUUGUUUUGUUUGAAUUGGAAAAAAAAUUAAAACUGCAAGCUUGAAAAAUGAGAGGAAUUGGUGCUGCCUGUGUUGUGCGUGUUCUGCUUUUUGUUUAACUUUGCUACUAAUAACAAUAAUAAUAAAAGAAAAUAAAAAGAUGUAAAAGAUGGGAUUUGAUCCCAAGACCUUGCACUCAAAAUGCCUUAAACACUCUCCUCAUCACCAUACAAGCUAAAUGACAUAUUUGAAAGAAAAAAAAUGUAACAAAACUUUAUAUCACAAAAGAGUGGGCAAAAUUUAGGAUUCGACACCCUAUAAAUAGCAACCAUCACCCUCACCAGUUCUUCACACCAGCUCUGCUCUCCCUCUCUGCAUACAAUUGAAUUAGUGCAGGAUACUAAGACCUCAAGUUGAAGUUCAUUGAGAAAAGGAAAAUGGCAUUGUGAAAGACAUUAAAAUAAAGAACGUUAGUGCUGAUUGGUGGUCUAGUUUUAUUUUUGGAUUCCGAAGAGAAAGAUCUCUUUGAUAUGUAUUGAUGACGUUAUUGGAGUACUCUCUAGGUGACAUGUAUCUUAGUGUUUGACCAGCUUGUGAUCAUUUGUGGGUUAGAGUCUUUUGUAGGAAUUUAUCUUUUAUUAUUUCAUAUUGAAAAAUUGUAAGAUACUUAUGUGAAAUGAAAAUGUUUUAUAUUUGAAAA